UGCAGUGAUGGUGUAAUUUGCGUCCGACCUUGUGAACAGUGACAGUUGCCUGCUGUCUCAUUGCUGUCACGGGUGGUUGACGAAGACUGAUUCUGAGCA
Megalops cyprinoides (Indo-Pacific tarpon) is the source of this 99-nucleotide small nucleolar RNA. RefSeq annotates it as small nucleolar RNA SNORD16. The record is from RefSeq and is a predicted model, not a curated record. The transcript has a single exon. Lineage: Eukaryota; Metazoa; Chordata; Actinopteri; Elopiformes; Megalopidae.